AACGAACGCUGGCGGCAUGCCUAACACAUGCAAGUCGAACGAGACCUUCGGGUCUAGUGGCGCACGGGGGCGUAACGCGGGGGAACCUGCCCUUAGGUUCGGAAUAACUCCCCGAAAGGGGUGCUAAUACCGGAUAAUGUCUUCGGACCAAAGAUUUAUCGCCUUUGGAUGGGCCCGCGUUGGAUUAGCUAGUUGGUAGGGUAAAAGCCUACCAAGGCGACGAUCCAUAGCUGGUCUGAGAGGAUGAUCAGCCACACUGGGACUGAGACACGGCCCAGACUCCUACGGGAGGCAGCAGUGGGGAAUAUUGGACAAUGGGCGAAAGCCUGAUCCAGCCAUGCCGCGUGAGUGAUGAAGGCCUUAGGGUUGUAAAGCUCUUUUACCCGGGAUGAUAAUGACAGUACCGGGAGAAUAAGCUCCGGCUAACUCCGUG
RNAcentral lists this ribosomal RNA (433 nucleotides) under uncultured bacterium. Its description in RNAcentral is "partial 16S ribosomal RNA". It matches the Rfam family "Bacterial small subunit ribosomal RNA", at positions 29 to 507 of the family's 1533-position model. The record is from RNAcentral.